ACUUCCGGUUCCCGCGCGGCGCUCCAAAGCUCGGGGAGUGGUGGUCUCCCUUUCCUGGAGUCAUUUGUGGGAGUUAGGGUCUUAUCCUGAUCUUUCCUCGUCCCCCGCUCCCCCGUCCUCCGAGGUGGCAGCUGCGUAGGUGAACGUUCCCCCUGUCCCCUUCCUUCUCCUUCCUAACCCGAGUACGCUUGCUCGCGGCCACAGUGGCUGCCUGCCCCAGGAGCGGGGAGUCCCUGCCUUUGGGGUAGGGAAAUGACUGAAAUGUGGGACCUGCGGGCUCCUCGGGCUGACUUGGACCUCACUGCAGCUCUGGAGGUGGACCUCGUCCUGGGACCCUAGAAGCCCAUUUCCGCACUCGGGCUAGGCCUUCGGAGCCGCGGCAGCAUAGUGGGAGGAGUCGGGCUCAGCUCCCCCCCACCACAACCGGGAUUAUUUUUAUCGGUUGAGUCAUCGCACUACCUUUCAUCCUUGUGGCUUUGGGCAAGUCCCCGCCCUCCGAGCCUCACUUUGCUUAUCUGUGAAUGGAAAUAACAGUGCCUACCCCAUGGGCUAUCGGGAGGAUCAGUUGUGAGGGAAUGCAGUGUGGGGUGUCUGGCCGGCAGAAUUCCACAAAUGGUAGCAGCGGUUGAUGUCACUGGAGGUUCCUGGGGCAGUAAUUUAUCAAGAGUUUAUGAUCCUGAACUAAGGAUCAUACGGAGGAGGAUCUGUGUAUAACGUUCGGCACAAUGUUAGAUAGGAAGUAAGGGCGCAGUGCACUGGAGUUAUUUUUUCUUUUUUUUUUUUUUGAGACGGAGUCUCGCUCUGUCGCCCAGGCCGGAGUUGCAGUGCCGCGUUGUCGCCUCACUGCAACCUUCUCUGCCACAUGGGUUCAAGCGAUUCUCCUGCCUCAGCCACUCGAGUAACUGGGAUUACAGUCGCACAUCACCACGCCUGGCUAAUGUUUUGCAUUUUUAAUAGAGACGGUUUCACCAUGUUGGCCAGCCUGGUCUUGAACUCCUGAUCUCAGGUGAUCCACCCGCCUCGGCCUUCCAAAGUGCUAGAAGUAUAGGCAUGAGCCACUGUGCCUGGCCUGGAGUUAUUUUUUCUCACUGGGUUUUUGAGCAAAGAAAAGGAGUUAUUAACUGGUGAGGAUAAAUUUGUGUUUGGUAAGUCGUCUUCUGAAGCUGACAGGAUUUAUAAGCCGGGUAAAUUGUGGUGCUGGUUCAUCUUUGAGAGCCAGCCUUAAGAAUUGGCCCACUGACUGCUGGGCGUGGUGGCUCACAUCUGUAAUCCCAGCACUUUGGGAGGCCGAAGCGGGUGGAUCACCCGAAGUCAGGAGUUCGAGACCAGCCUGGUCAACAUGGUGAAACCCCAUCUCUACUAAAAACAUAAAAAUUAGCCAGGUAUGGUGGUGGGCACCUGUAAUCCCAGUUACUCGGGAGGCUGAGGCAGAGAAUUGCUUGAACCCAGAAGGAGGAAAGGUUGCAGUGAACCGAGAUCACACUACUGCACUCCAGCCUGAGCGACAGAGUGAGACUUGUCUCAAAAAAAAAAAAAAGGAAAGAAAAAGGCCCACUGACAGUCUGUUCCUAGAAACCUGGGUUGUAAAGACGUUGGGUGCUGGGAGCUAGAAGAAGUAAUAAAAGGGUGUUUUCCUAAGUGGGUUAGGGGUUUUCACUCAGAAAGGUUUUUGGGCAGGAGGGGAAAGCCUGAGAAGUUUUCUUCCUCUUGAGUUGUUAUAAAAGUAAUACAUGUGUGUAGUUAGAAAACAAUGCAGAAAGAUGUAAAAUGAAAAGUGUUUCCCCCUUCUACUGUUUCUGCCCUUCAGAAGUAAAUACAAUUAAUUUCUUUGAUAACUUUCUAUCUAUUAUUUGGAUAUAUCAGGUUUUAUUUAUUUGUAUCUGUAUUUAUGUAUUUUUAAUUUCCUCAGAUCGGGGGUCAUACUACACAUCGAUCGGGACCUUAGUCAUGUUGUGAUAUGGACAGCUUUCUUACCAGUACUCAUAAGCCUGCUUCAUUUUUUACGUGGCGGCACCACUGAGUGGUUGACGGUACUUCAGUCAUUUCCCUGUUGAUGGUCACUUAGGUUGUUCCCAAGAUUUUGCUUUCCCACAGUGUUUCACCCAACCUUUCUUGGACGAAAUAUUUUAGUCCAACUCACCCUAAGUGAUUCUGCUUUUCCCUAUUCACCACCCUAGGUUAGUAACAGCUUACUUUGGGGGAUGAGCACACCUUAUUAACUGAGCAAAAACCAAGAUAAUGUGAGAAGAAUUGGUGUACUCCCAAGAAUAUCCAAGGUGCUGGGUCUAGAAUCAAUUAAAGUCUCCUAAGAAAUGGGUCAGGGAACCUUUAGAGAAGGGAUGACUAGGUGCUGGGUGCACGGCAGCUAGUCAGCGUUAGUGAUUGUUGGCUUCUGUCAAUUGUUGCUCAGGAAACAGAUUUGAGAGAUUCUCUGAGGUGGGAAGGAUUUUAAAUGUCAGCUCUCCUGCUAUGUAUUAUAUGUCUGGAAGGGAUUAGUUCUUUGAGGGAAGAGAGUAUUAAAGAAAACAAUGGGCCGGGCACGGUGGCUCACACCUGUAAUCCCAGCACUUUGGGAGGCCGAGGCAAGGGCGGUGGAUCAUGAGGUCAGGAGAUCGAGACCAUCCUGGCUAACAUGGUGAAACCUCAUUUCUACUAAAAAUACAAAAAAAAAUUAGCUGGGCCUGGUGGCACGUGCCGUAGUCCCAGCUACUCAGGAGGCUGAGGCAGGAGGAUUGCUUGAACCUGGGAGGCAGAGGUUGCAGUGAGCCGAGAUUGUGCCUGGGCAACAGAGCAAGACUCCGUCUCAAAAAAAAAAAAAAAAAAAAGAAAAUGAUGAUCCUUGAAAAGUGACUGCAUCAUGGGGCUGUAUCCUAAUGUGAGAAUUAAUUUAGUCAUUUCUGUUAUUUGAACUCUCUUGUUUUAAAGUUAAUUAACAUAGGAUGUGUUUUCCUGUAAAUAACUCCUCUUUUGAACUGGGGCCCUAGCCCAAAUGAAGCAAAGGCUUUUUUUCUGGCAUUUUACAGGUAUUUAAUUUGCCUCCCGCCCCGCCGCCCCCCACGGCUAUAGCUGGUUUGAUAAUCCUGGAGCUCUCAAAUAUCCAAAGAGUUGGAAGUGUACUCUAUUAGGAUUUUGACAAGUCCCAUACACUGAUCAGAG
This 3156-nucleotide long non-coding RNA is filed under the name Homo sapiens (human). RNAcentral describes it as "non-protein coding lnc-CELA3A-5:17". Lineage: Eukaryota; Metazoa; Chordata; Mammalia; Primates; Hominidae. The record is from RNAcentral.